UGGCGCCCGUCGUGGGGCUCCUGGCACGAGGGGCUUAACAAGGGAGCCGUCCUGAGAUGCGCGCGUAAGAAGGGAACUAAGAGUUUUGUGACCAAUGCUACGUGGGAGCCUGUCAUGCCACUGAGUCACGGUAAGUGGACGGCGAUCCUUUCCCUUUUUUUCCGGCAUGGGUCAGGCAUUAAGUGAUGCUUUGUGUCAGAUUUAACCAAAGCUUUAAAGACAAGAGGGAUAAAGGCUAAAGAAAAAGAUUUAUUGCAGUACUUUCAAGUUAUUCAUAAGGCUUGCCCUU
This is a regulatory RNA element of Cavia porcellus (domestic guinea pig), 289 nucleotides long. It matches the Rfam family "Mason-Pfizer monkey virus packaging signal". Rfam says of the family: The packaging signal is located in the 5' UTR and is required for specific RNA encapsidation. Lineage: Eukaryota; Metazoa; Chordata; Mammalia; Rodentia; Caviidae. The record is from Rfam.